Molecule: transfer RNA, 71 nt
Filed under: Massilia sp. H-1
Lineage: Bacteria; Pseudomonadati; Pseudomonadota; Betaproteobacteria; Burkholderiales; Oxalobacteraceae
Also listed under: 1 other name
Description: tRNA-OTHER
Rfam family: tRNA
About the family: Transfer RNA (tRNA) molecules are approximately 80 nucleotides in length. Their secondary structure includes four short double-helical elements and three loops (D, anti-codon, and T loops).
Source: RNAcentral
GCAGGAAUAGCUCAGUUGGCAGAGCGCGGCCCGUCAGGGUCGAGGCAAGAGUUCGAGACUCUUUUCCUGCU